RNAcentral lists this ribosomal RNA (446 nucleotides) under uncultured delta proteobacterium. RNAcentral's name for it is "bacterial SSU rRNA". It matches the Rfam family "Bacterial small subunit ribosomal RNA", at positions 1088 to 1533 of the family's 1533-position model. Lineage: Bacteria; Deltaproteobacteria. The record is from RNAcentral.
CGCACGAGCGCACCCUCGCCCCUAAUUGCCAGCACUUCGGGUGGGAACUUUAGGGGAACUGCCGGGUGAUAAACCGGAGGAAGGUGGGGAUGACGUCAAGUCCUCAUGGCCCUUAUGCCCAGGGCUACACACGUGCUACAAUGGCCGGUACAAAGGGUCGCAAAACCGUAAGGUCGAGCCAAUCCCAAAAAACCGGUCUCAGUUCGGAUUGGGGUCUGCAACUCGACCCCAUGAAGCUGGAAUCGCUAGUAAUCGUGGAUCAACACGCCACGGUGAAUACGUUCCCGGGCCUUGUACACACCGCCCGUCACACCACGAAAGUCGGUUGUACCAGAAGUCACUGUGCUAACCCGUAAGGGGGGCAGGUGCCUAAGGUAUGGUCGGUAAUUGGGGUGAAGUCGUAACAAGGUAGCCGUAGGGGAACCUGCGGCUGGAUCACCUCCUUU